This is a long non-coding RNA of Strongylocentrotus purpuratus (purple sea urchin), 1261 nucleotides long. RefSeq lists it as uncharacterized. The transcript has 2 exons. The record is from RefSeq and is a predicted model, not a curated record. Lineage: Eukaryota; Metazoa; Echinodermata; Echinoidea; Camarodonta; Strongylocentrotidae.
GAGAUGAUAGCCAGGUAACGGGAGGCAUGAGAAAUACUAUUACACACUGAAAAGUAAUUCAGUCGUGGAAGAUUCUGAUACAUUGAAUAUAUAACUCUGUACUGUCAAGUCAUGCUUGUUUCAAUAAGUAAUCUAUAAAAGAUAUAUACUGUGACACAAAUUUGUUUACCUAUGGGGAUAAGGCAGUCAGUGCGCAUGUAAAAGGGUGAUGUAUGAUUCGUCAAUGUAAAUGUAUUUGGCUUUGUUCAUCUUAUGAGGUGGAAAUGUUUUGAUUCUGAAUCUGGAAAAUCUGAAGUCACAUGGCAUUACAUUAUAAUUGUCUAGUGAUAAGGGAGCCUGAGUCUGCUGGCAAGGACUGGAGUCAGUAAGACUUGGUCGCACUAAAUGUUUCAGGAACCAGUGGGCCAUAGGGGAAUUUUCCCGACUACGAAAUGUAGCUAGCUCGACGGAUCUUUAAGUCCGAUCACAAUAGCCGGUUUUGCCCCUAUCUUUCCUCGCGCAGCAGGAGUAGCUCCAAACAGUUUAGAAUGCAAAUGCAUUAACACCUCAACAUGAAAUGUAUAGUUACCCAACUUUAAUGCAUGACACAAGUGUAGAAGUGAACGGCAAUGAGCAUAGUUCACAUGAUGACAUCAUGAGUGUAUGGUUAAAUAGGUCAGGAUGAAUACCUACAGCAACCGGGGGAGAAAGUAGGAGAUCUCAAGAGAUCUGUAUAGAAGCUGAAUCUAGUUUUAAAAAAACAAACAAUAAUAAUAAAUUAAUUAAUUAAUCACAAAAAAAAAAAAAAAAAAAAAAAGGUAUUGGGUGGAGGUUUGAAUUUUAUAUAAUGUAAUUUGAACACGCGGGACUGCCAAUAUCUUUGGCCAAGCAGGCCGGGAUACGCGUCCGCGUUUUAGGAGUGAUGAGGGGGACAGGAACCCCAAGAAGAGGGGGAUAUCAGCGGGAGUUACUAUCCUGCUGGUGGAUCACGUUCAGAGCCCCAUGAAUUGGGGGGCUACCGGGGAGGAGCUACUAUCCUUUCUGGUGAUCACGUGACCAGAGAUCCUCAGGAUUAUUCUGACAAAUUAAUUCUCACAGUUGAUAUUGCAGAUAGGAUUAUAUUACAUGUAUUUUGGUUUUGAGUUUCGCAGAAUUAUGUUCCUGAGUUUUCAUGUUCGUACAUAGCAAUUUGCAUCAUGUAUGUGUAUUGGUAUUACAGGCAGACAUUGCCUAUUUUAAAUGUUAACGCCUUGAAGCGGAAAUAAAUGUCGAGCAAUUGCAA